This 443-nucleotide ribosomal RNA is filed under the name uncultured bacterium. RNAcentral describes it as "bacterial SSU rRNA". It matches the Rfam family "Bacterial small subunit ribosomal RNA", at positions 28 to 507 of the family's 1533-position model. The record is from RNAcentral.
GAUGAACGCUGGCGGUAUGCCUAACACAUGCAAGUUGUACGAGAGUUUUUAACUCUAGUGGCGGACGGGUGAGUAACACGUGAGAAUUUGCCUUUAGGAGGGGGACAACAAUUGGAAACGAAUGCUAAUACCCCAUAUGCUUUCGAGUGGAAUGGAUUUUAUCCGCCUAGAGAGAAGCUCGCGGCUGAUUAGCUUGUUGGUAAGGUAAGAGCUUACCAAGGCGACGAUCAGUAUCUGGUUUGAGAGGACGAUCAGACACACUGGAACUGAGACACGGUCCAGACUCCUACGGGAGGCAGCAGUGGGGAAUUUUCCGCAAUGGGCGAAAGCCUGACGGAGCAAUACCGCGUGAGGGAAGAAUGCCUAUGGGUUGUAAACCUUCUUUUUCAGGGUAGGAAUAAAAUAGACGUGUACCUGAAGAAUAAGCAUCGGCUAACUCCGUG